CGCGUAGGAACCUGCCCAGUAGUGGGGAGUAGCCCGGUCGAAACCGGAAUUAAUACCGCAUACGCUCUACGGAGGAAAGGGGGCGUUCGGCUCUCGCUAUUGGAUGGGCCUGCGUGAGAUUAGCUAGUUGGUGAGGUAAUGGCUCACCAAGGCGACGAUCUCUAGCUGGUCUGAGAGGAUGACCAGCCACACUGGGACUGAGACACGGCCCAGACUCCUACGGGAGGCAGCAGUGAGGAAUUUUCCGCAAUGGGCGCAAGCCUGACGGAGCAAUGCCGCGUGAAGGAAGAAGGCCCGUGG
This 300-nucleotide ribosomal RNA is filed under the name uncultured Oleiphilaceae bacterium. RNAcentral's name for it is "bacterial SSU rRNA". It matches the Rfam family "Bacterial small subunit ribosomal RNA", at positions 114 to 421 of the family's 1533-position model. The record is from RNAcentral. Lineage: Bacteria; Pseudomonadati; Pseudomonadota; Gammaproteobacteria; Oceanospirillales; Oleiphilaceae.